RNAcentral lists this ribosomal RNA (271 nucleotides) under uncultured archaeon. RNAcentral describes it as "partial 16S ribosomal RNA". It matches the Rfam family "Archaeal small subunit ribosomal RNA", at positions 477 to 747 of the family's 1478-position model. The record is from RNAcentral.
CAGCGCCACAAGUAGGGACCAGUUUUAUUGGGCCUAAAGCGUUCGUAGCCGGAUUAGUAAAUCUUUUGUGAAAUUGUUGGGCUUAACCCAACAGCUGGCAGAAGACACUGCUUAUCUAGAGACCGGAAGGAGUUAGAGGUAUUUGAGGGGUAGCGGUAAAAUGCAAUAAUCCCUCGAGGACCACCAGUGGCGAAGGCGUCUAACUAGUACGGGUCUGACGGUGAGGAACGAAAGCCAGGGGAGCGAACCGGAUUAGAUACCCGAGUAGUCC